AAUGGAUCCGGGUGAGGAUGUGUAUGUGUAGGAGAAGAUUCCAGAAUCUUUAGAGAUAAUUCAGAUGAAAUCCAGUGAGGACAGGUACUUCUGGAGAAGCAGAGAAAAUGGAAAG
Molecule: non-coding RNA, 115 nt
Organism: Pteropus alecto (black flying fox)
Lineage: Eukaryota; Metazoa; Chordata; Mammalia; Chiroptera; Pteropodidae
Source: Rfam